Molecule: long non-coding RNA, 1163 nt
Organism: Sebastes umbrosus (honeycomb rockfish)
Lineage: Eukaryota; Metazoa; Chordata; Actinopteri; Perciformes; Sebastidae
Exons: 5
Source: RefSeq, a predicted model, not a curated record
AAUGUUUUGGGUCAAGUUUCUGAAAAAAUUCUUACCUUUCAUCUUUAAAAAAAACACUUAAAAAUGCAUUAUUUAGUCAGAGGGAAUGUCAUUUUUGAGAACUGGCUGUUUCAUUGUGGAACAGGAUUCGUUUGUACCAUAAAUAUCAGUGUGCUAUCAUUAGCAGGACUGCAGUCAAGAUGGGGCCAUGUCAUGACAGUAUGUGCUCCCACACUGCACACUGUGUACAGUACACUGUCUCUGCACCUAGAUCAAAUGUUGGAUUUCAUGUAUAAAGAUGGUCAUCUUAUGAUAAUUUAUGUCAAAACUAAAACUAAGUAAAAAGACUAUAAAGUUAUGAGGAUAACAGAGUAUUUACCAUCACAUGUAGGUAAAGGGUGGCUCCACCAGUGGUUCUUCUCACAUACUAGCGGUUCCUCGUGGCUGAGUCUGUAGCCAGAAUCACAACCAAAUGACACUGUGGACCCGAUGGAGAAAUCCUGCCCGUACCGAAUACCAUUAACGGGGAUGCCAGGGUCCAGGCAUGAGUAGCUGUCCACUGUAACGCCUAAAAAAAAAAAAAGGAUUAGAUGUCCAACUGUUACACAUGUGCAUAAACACUAGACUUUGAUCUGCAGUUUUGCUGAUCUGCAUAAUCUAACACUCACAGAUGGUGUGAAUCUCCACAUAAAGCGCCACGCUGUGCAUUCAUGGUGGUUUGUUUUUCGCAGCCAGCGUUUGAUCGGCUGUUAUCGGUGGUAAACAGCAGAUAGAGAAAGUUGCUGCUGCUGAACAGGAACUGGGGAACCUGGGUACCAUUAAAGGAGCCGACCAGAGGAGACAAGAGGUUUGGCCCAUCGUGGACCUCCAGAAAGUCAUAACCCAGCUCCGUCUGGAACCUGUGAGACAACAAUAUCAGAAUAUCACAAUGCUGGAGAUGGUCUCGGUUCCUUGGGUUUUGAUGAACCCGUCCUCGCACACCACGGAGAUGGAGCUGCCGAGCUGGAAGCUGUCUCCAAAGCGGCGAGCGUUGAUGGGAAUGCCAGGGUCUGGGCACUCAUUAUGUCCAAAUGCUAGGGUUCCAAACCAGGCCACAGAGGAGCUGUUGAGGAUUGAUUGGACAGGAGGAGUAUGAGAAAGACAUACAUUUUUCUGUUCUCAUUAAAAACACACAAUCUCUGUCA